RNAcentral lists this ribosomal RNA (656 nucleotides) under Citrobacter werkmanii. RNAcentral's name for it is "bacterial SSU rRNA". It matches the Rfam family "Bacterial small subunit ribosomal RNA", at positions 763 to 1417 of the family's 1533-position model. The record is from RNAcentral. Lineage: Bacteria; Pseudomonadati; Pseudomonadota; Gammaproteobacteria; Enterobacterales; Enterobacteriaceae.
GGGGAGCAAACAGGAUUAGAUACCCUGGUAGUCCACGCUGUAAACGAUGUCGACUUGGAGGUUGUUCCCUUGAGGAGUGGCUUCCGGAGCUAACGCGUUAAGUCGACCGCCUGGGGAGUACGGCCGCAAGGUUAAAACUCAAAUGAAUUGACGGGGGCCCGCACAAGCGGUGGAGCAUGUGGUUUAAUUCGAUGCAACGCGAAGAACCUUACCUGGUCUUGACAUCCACAGAACUUAGCAGAGAUGCUUUGGUGCCUUCGGGAACUGUGAGACAGGUGCUGCAUGGCUGUCGUCAGCUCGUGUUGUGAAAUGUUGGGUUAAGUCCCGCAACGAGCGCAACCCUUAUCCUUUGUUGCCAGCGGUUAGGCCGGGAACUCAAAGGAGACUGCCAGUGAUAAACUGGAGGAAGGUGGGGAUGACGUCAAGUCAUCAUGGCCCUUACGACCAGGGCUACACACGUGCUACAAUGGCAUAUACAAAGAGAAGCGACCUCGCGAGAGCAAGCGGACCUCAUAAAGUAUGUCGUAGUCCGGAUUGGAGUCUGCAACUCGACUCCAUGAAGUCGGAAUCGCUAGUAAUCGUGGAUCAGAAUGCCACGGUGAAUACGUUNCCCNGGCCUUGUACACACCGCCCGUCACAACCAUGGGAGUGGGUUG